ACUGCUCAGUAACACGUGAGUAGCUGUCCUAGGGAGGGGGAUAACGCCUGGAAACGGGUGCUAAAACCCCAUAAGCCUCGAAAGAGGUAAAAGUGCAUCACUGCAGUCCUAGGGUGUGCUCGCGGCCUAUCAGCUAGUUGGUGAGGUAAGGACUCACCAAGGCCAAGACGGGUAGCCGGCCUGAGAGGGUGUACGGCCACACUGGAAUUGAGAUACGGUCCAGACUCCUACGGGAGGCAGCAGUGGGGAAUUUUGGGCAAUGGGCGAAAGCCUGACCCAGCGACGCCGCGUUGGGGAUGAAGUCCUUCGGGGCGUAAACCCAUGUUGUAGGGGAAGAAGAAAGUGACGGUACCCUACGAGAAAGCCCCGGCCAACUACGUGCCAGCAGCCGCGGUAAAACGUAGGGGGCGAGCGUUGUCCGGAAUUACUGGGCGUAAAGGGCAUGCAGGCGGUGCGCCAAGUCGGGGGUGUAAAGUUACGGCUCAACCGUGACCUUGCAAUCGAAACUGGCGCACUGGAGUGCGGGAGAGGGAAGUGGAAUUCCCGGUGUAGCGGUGAAAUGCGUAGAUAUCGGGAGGAACGCCAGUGGCGAAGGCGGCUUCCUGGCCCGCGACUGACGCUCAUGUGCGAAAGCCAGGGGAGCGAACCGGAUUGAUACCCGGGUAGUCCUGGCCGUAAACGAUGGGUGCUAGGUGUAGGCGCGUCAAGCGUCUGUGCCGAAGUUAACGCGAUAAGCACCUCGCCUGGGGAGUACGGUCGCAAGGCUGAAACUCA
Molecule: ribosomal RNA, 774 nt
Filed under: uncultured archaeon
Lineage: Archaea
Description: bacterial SSU rRNA
Rfam family: Bacterial small subunit ribosomal RNA
Source: RNAcentral